GGCGAACGGGUGAGUAACACGUGGAUAACCUGCCUCAAGGCUGGGGAUAACAUUUGGAAACAGAUGCUAAUACCGAAUAAAACUUAGUAUCGCAUGAUACAAAGUUGAAAGGCGCUACGGCGUCACCUAGAGAUGGGUCCGCGGUGCAUUAGUUAGUUGGUGGGGUAAAGGCCUACCAAGACAAUGAUGCAUAGCCGAGUUGAGAGACUGAUCGGCCACAUUGGGACUGAGACACGGCCCAAACUCCUACGGGAGGCUGCAGUAGGGAAUCUUCCACAAUGGGCGAAAGCCUGAUGGAGCAACGCCGCGUGUGUGAUGAAGGCUUUAGGGUCGUAAAGCACUGUUGUAUGGGAAGAAAUGCUAGAAUAGGGAAUGAUUCUAGUUCGACGGUACCAUACCAGAAAGGGACGGCUAAAUACGUGCCAGCAGCCGCGGUAAUACGUAUGUCCCGAGCGUUAUCCGGAUUUAUUGGGCGUAAAGCGAGCGCAGACGGUUGAUUAAGUCUGAUGUGAAAGCCCGGAGCUCAACUCCGGAAUGGCAUUGGAAACUGGUUAACUUGAGUGUUGUAGAGGUAAGUGGAACUCCAUGUGUAGCGGUGGAAUGCGUAGAUAUAUGGAAGAACACCAGUGGCGAAGGCGGCUUACUGGACAACAACUGACAUUGAGGCUCGAAAGUGUGGGUAGCAAACAGGAUUAGAUACCCUGGUAGUCCACACCGUAAACGAUGAAUACUAGGUGUUAGGAGGUUUCCGCCUCUUAGUGCCGAAGCUAACGCAUUAAGUAUUCCGCCUGGGGAGUACGACCGCAAGGUUGAAACUCAAAGGAAUUGACGGGGACCCGCACAAGCGGUGGAGCAUGUGGUUUAAUUCGAAGCAACGCGAAGAGCCUUACCAGGUCUUGACAUCUCCUGAAGCUUUUAGAGAUAGAAGUGUUCUCUUUUUAGACAAAGUGACAGG
RNAcentral lists this ribosomal RNA (955 nucleotides) under Leuconostoc sp. C9I21. Its description in RNAcentral is "bacterial SSU rRNA". It matches the Rfam family "Bacterial small subunit ribosomal RNA", at positions 97 to 1038 of the family's 1533-position model. Lineage: Bacteria; Bacillati; Bacillota; Bacilli; Lactobacillales; Lactobacillaceae. The record is from RNAcentral.